Molecule: ribosomal RNA, 450 nt
Filed under: uncultured bacterium
Lineage: Bacteria
Description: partial 16S ribosomal RNA
Rfam family: Bacterial small subunit ribosomal RNA
Source: RNAcentral
GUGGGGAAUCUUCCGCAAUGGACGAAAGUCUGACGGAGCGACGCCGCGUGAGUGAUGAAGGCCUUCGGGUCGUAAAGCUCUGUCAUCGGGGACGAAUGGUCGUUGGAGUGGAAAGCCAGCGAAAUGACGGUACCCGAGAAGGAAGCCACGGCUAACUACGUGCCAGCAGCCGCGGUAAUACGUAGGUGGCAAGCGUUGUCCGGAAUUAUUGGGCGUAAAGCGCGCGCAGGUGGGAUCUUAAGUCCAUUUUGAAAGUUCGGAGCUCAACUCCGUGAUGGGAUGGAAACUGGGAUUCUUGAGUACCGGAGAGGAAAGCGGAAUUCCCCGUGUAGCGGUGAAAUGCGUAGAUAUGGGGAGGAACACCAGUGGCGAAGGCGGCUUUCUGGACGGUGUCUGACACUGAGGCGCGAAAGCCAGGGGAGCGAACGGGAUUAGAUACCCCGGUAGUCC